AUGACCACCUUCCGAGUACGACGGGCAGAAGCCGAUGCGGCCAGCGGUGGCCGCUGGAGCGAGGCGGUUAACACGUCCAGAGCAUCUCGUCCAGAGCUCGCUGGAGCAGAGGUCGACCUCGCUGGAGCAGAGCUGCUGGCCACGCCCGACCUCGUCCUGAGAAAAGGAUCUCGCGGGCCGCUGCUGGAGGGAGUUCACGCGAUGGAGGGAGAGGAGGAGGCCACACCGGAGUUAGGUGGUGCCAGAUGGAGGAGGCGCUGGAGGGAGGUGGCCGCACCGCCCGCGAUGCUCGCCCGAGUGAGGAGGCGCCGAAGGGACGAGGCUGCGCUCCUCACCGGCACGUGCCGCGCCGCCCGCGCUGCUCGCCGGAGUGAGGAGGCGCCUAAGGGAUGA
Molecule: ribosomal RNA, 393 nt
Filed under: Triticum aestivum (bread wheat)
Lineage: Eukaryota; Viridiplantae; Streptophyta; Magnoliopsida; Poales; Poaceae
Description: partial small subunit ribosomal RNA
Source: RNAcentral